Molecule: ribosomal RNA, 435 nt
Filed under: uncultured bacterium
Lineage: Bacteria
Description: partial 16S ribosomal RNA
Rfam family: Bacterial small subunit ribosomal RNA
Source: RNAcentral
GAUGAACGCUGGCGGUAUGCUUAACACAUGCAAGUCGAACGGACUCUUCGGAGUUAGUGGCGGUCGGGUGAGUAACGCGUGAGAAUCUGGCUUUGGGUACGGGACAACCACUGGUAACGGUGGCUAAUGCCGGAUGUGCUGAGAGGUAAAAGAGAACUUGCCUGAAGAUGAGGUCGCGUCUGAUUAGCUAGUUGGUGAGGUAAAGGCCCACCAAGGCAGCGAUCAGUAGCUGGUCUGAGAGGACGACCAGCCACACUGGGACUGAGACGCGGCCCAGACUCCUACGGGAGGCAGCAGUGGGGAAUUUUCCGCAAUGGGCGAAAGCCUGACGGAGCAAUACCGCGUGAGGGAAGAAGGCUCUUGGGUUGAAAACCUCUUUUCUUAGGGAAGAACAAAAUGACGGUACCUAAGGAAUCAGCACCGGCUAACUCCGUG